Molecule: long non-coding RNA, 7936 nt
Filed under: Sus scrofa (pig)
Lineage: Eukaryota; Metazoa; Chordata; Mammalia; Artiodactyla; Suidae
Description: lncRNA (ENSSSCG00015006055.1)
Source: RNAcentral
UUUUUUUUUUUUUAAAUUUUGGGAGGACACUGGAAGACUGAAUGGGAGGAUGCCUCCAACUUGCAAGGGGCAGCCAAGAAUGACCAGAGGAAGAGAAUUUGUAUGUUUACCAAGAACCUCUUUGCUUGGCUCAAAACAUCCCAGGCUCCCACCUCAAACCUCCUCUCUUGUUAACAAAAAAAUGAAAACAAGCCCUUGUCUAGGGUACUGUGGCUUUCGCAAGUUGCUAGGAUAUCAAUAUAUUUACCCACAACUGCAGACGUUUGGCUCAAGAAUAGCCCACUCAGUCCUCACAUGAGGCGAGAUCAUGAGGAUUCAAUCUACAUGAGGUCCUCAGGGGGCUUUGAAAUCAGCCAGGGAGUUGAUAAUUGUUUGGAGAUACGGCAGCUGAAGUUUUUCUCCAGGUUUUGCUGUAAUAAGCUUUUUCUUGUUGUUGAGUUGCUCUGGCUUCCUUGGGGGUUUCAAAUUCAGUGGUGAUUUGCACCUGCUUUUUUUUGAACCUUACAAAACUUAUGAGAGAGAAAAGGGAGUCCUAUUUUUCUACUCCUCAGACUCUGGGCAUCCCACUUGGGGCUGCUCUUGGUUUAGAUGCUCUUGGGGGAAACAGGACAUUUGGGUUUGGGGCCUUUUAGGUGCACAUGUAGGAAGUGUGUCCUAGAGCCGUUUGAAAUCCUGGUCUGAGUGCCAAAUCCUAGAAGAUGACUAACUCUGCAGUGAUUUCAGGGCGAGGGUGGGAACGACAGACUCUGUCAAAUCGCAGGGCACGGGGCUAACUCAAGACCUAUACCAGGGCCAAGCGCUUAGCUUUCACCUGCCUCAAAGGCAAACCAAUUUGAUCGCAGCAAGGGAAAGCAAAAUGGACUCACUCUCUAAUUUUAACAACUCUUCCAAAUUAAUACAUUCUGUAAACAAACAAACAAAAACACCAAGAUUCUGCCAUCUUAAUUCUGGCUUUUUCUAAAACAGCUGCAACCUUUUGGCAUCACCAUCACCCAGUAUUUUUUGAGGUCCUUUUCAUGGAGACCUCUGGGCUACAAAGACCAGCAAUGGAUCCUACUUAUCAUAGUUGGAUGCUAAUUCACAAACGUGCCCUAUGCCACAUUCCCAUAGAGACUGGGGGAAAAGAGUCUUCUCUUUGGCUGAAGUUAUUCCUUCAACCAGCAAGUCAUCUAGUUAUUGGCAGCAAGGGCAGCUUAAUAUCAACACUUCUAAAAUUCUAUUUUGAGCUGAUGACUACAGAGAUGUAAUUGUCUCACAGACCAUAAGCCUUAGAUUGGCUCAAUUUUUAUGGUAAUUUUAGUGACAUAAUUUGCAACUACUUCAACCUAAAAAUUUCAUUGACAAGUUAUGUUGCUCAAAACUGCGUGUUCCAGAGUCUAUUAUUAAAAUCUUUUCUGCAGUUCUAGUAGACAACUGGCAACCCCUGCUUUAAACAGUGUUCAAGUUUAAAUCCUUCUGGCCAUGUUCAAUAGCAUGUUUUAGCUUUUCCCAGAGCGUCCUUUGCCAAACACAGUUCCACAAGAAGAUCAUUUGUGUGGGAGUUCUCAAGUUUACUUCUGUGAUUGGUUCUGACCAUGGAGCUGCACAGAAUCAAAUGGCUACUUCACUGAUAGAAAUCAUGAGGAUCCUGGAGUUCUCUUGUGGUGCAGUGGGUUAAAGAUCCAGCGCUGUCACUGUAGCAGCUUGGGUCACUGCUGUGGCAGGGGUUUGAUCCCUGGCCUGGGAACCUCCACUUGCCACAGGUUAGGCAAGAGAAAGAAAGAAAGGGAGAGAGAGUGAAAGGAAGGAAGAAAGAAAGAGAGAAAGAAAGAAAGAAAUUAUGAGGGUCCUCAUAGUCUUCAGAUUUAUGUUCCUGGGACACCCCAAUUUUGACAUUUAUAAUAACUUUAUUUUUUGAACCUUCCUGAUUUUUGUUUUAUAUUUGGAUUUUAACAUUAAAAACAUUUAUCAUAAGGAAGCAAAUUUAUGACACUCUUAACAUCACCAUGGGCUCCUCCAUCCUCUUUCCACUAUCGAAGCCCGAAUGAGCCUUUUUAUGUUUCACUGAUGGUUGAAUUUAAGACAUAAUAACUGACCUCAAAACAGUCACAGAGAAAGGGCAAGUAGAAGACAUUUCCUGUGCUUCUGCUUUCCCAUGAGGAAAUUGGGGAAAUAAAAUAUGCUCACAGAAACUCAGGUCCAGUGUAAACAUGCUUUGUCCAUUCACAUGCUAUAGAAAUGUCUAUUGAUUGUACAAAUAUAAAUAACAUGACAGGUCCACAGGGCAAAUCCCACAUUCUACACAAUUGGUCCUCUGCCUACUUUCCUGCUAUCACUUCCCUAUAGGAACCCUCUCUUCCAGCCCAGCUGGUGUCUUCUGUUGGUAAACGUAUAUUCUCUAUCACAACCUCUGUCCGCCUCUGCCUUUUGUAGGAAGAUUUCCCCUCAGCCAUCGACCUCAGGAUUCUCUGCCUCCUUUAUAUUUAUUCACUCAUUUAGUCACUUAUUCUAUUAUACAUAUAAUAUACAAAUCCACACCCAUAUCCAGCAUCCAACAUUCACAACCACAUCCAAUUAGCUACAUCCACAUUCAUUAUCCACAUUCACAUCCAAUACCUAGUCCACAUCCAACAUCCACAGCCACAUGCAACAUCUAUACCUGUAUCUACAUCCAAUAUCAACAUCCAUAUUCAACCUCCACAUCCACACCCAACAUCUAUACUCACAUCCAACCUUUAUAUCGACAUCUGUAUCUAUAUCUAUUCUAUCAUCUUUACAUCAUUGCCCAAAUACUAUCACUUGUUUUUAGGUCUUAUCAUUUGCCUGGUUUUGACUUGGUUUAUUUUUAUUUAAAAAAUUUUUGUGUUUAUUUUUAAAGUGGAUGUCUUUCCUCCUCUAUUAGACCAUGAGCUCCCUAGAGCUAGCAAUAUGAUUUACUGAUUUUUGCAUCUUAUACUGACACGCAAUAGGUCCUCGAGGUAUAGAUGAGGUUUUGGGAAAAAAAAACAGCACCCAUCAAGCACACCUCCUGCGUCGUCGUUCUGGGCAGUUCAAUCACACCACCUCAUUUAAUCCUCGUGACCUUCUGACCUUGUCUCCUCCGCUGUGCUCCAGCCACACUGCUCUGUUUUUAAUGGCUUCAGGAUACAGGUUUGUUCCAUCUCUGAAUUUUGCUCUGGCUGUUCAUCUGCCUGGAACAUUUUCCCCCCAGAUCUGUCCAUGAUGUGCUCUUUCUUUCCAUUCUUAUUUAAGCUCAAAAGUCACCUACUCUGAGAGUCUCACCCUGACCAUCUUAGGUAAUUCUAUAUAUUCCAGCAUCCUCUUUCAUCCUACCCACAGCACUUAUCAACAACUGAAAUUAGCUUAUUGGUUUGUUUAUUUAUUUACUUGUUUACUAAUUAUCUCUUCCUGCACCUUCCCCAACUAAAAUAUAAGUUCCAUGUGGGCCAGGGUGAGCCUGUCUUGUUUAUGGCUAUAUUUACAGCUUAGAAUAAUGUCAGACACAUAGUGAGUACUCAAUUAUCAUCCAAUGAGAAAAUAACCUUGAGUGGAUACCAAUUUUGGAGAUGUGGAAACAGAGGCUUAUGGAUGUGUUGUGACAUGCCUCCGCUUGGCAACCUGGAGUCGGCCAAUCUGAGACCCGCAGCCCUCCUCAAAACCCAGGUCUCUCAUGUUAACAGGAAACUGCUGCUCCACGGGCAAAGGUGGAUAUACUAAUGCAAAUGUGAUGCUGCUUCUAGUUCGAUCAGAUCAUCUGAUAUUUCUUGUGUUCUUGUCUAUUUUGAUAUCACAGAUAAGCAGGCAUGUGGGUCUCUAAUUUCAUAAAGUGUUAUCCACCAUGUAACAUAACAAGGAUGGUUUCUUGUUUGCUAAUAUGCUGAGGUCUUUGUAUAUGCUAAUCUCACUUAAUUCCCAUAACAACCCUAGGAGAAGGGUAAAUUUCCAUUUUACAUAUGAGGAAAGUACAGCUCGGGAAGAUGAAAUAUCUUACCUAAAGUCAGUAGUAUCAAGACUCGCAUUGGAAGAUGCUAAUAGAGUAACUUGAGAAGUGAUGGAUAAAAACUGAUUCAUCUCUCUGCCGCCAGAGCCUGUGUUGGUAACCCCCAUGCUAGACGCAGGACUCUCUAUAAGGCAGACUCUGAGUUGGGCGCCAAGAAUAGAAAGACUCACUCCCUGACCAAAAUGAGCUCUCAGUCUGACAAAAAAGAGACGUGGUUUGAAUAAGAAAGAAAACAAUGUUUGGGAUGUGGGUGAGGAGCAGAAGGAGGAAGACUGGGGUUGGGUCCUACACACUGUCACUCCGGGGCUACAGCAGGAGAAGGCCACUUGGAAGUCCCAUUUCAGUGAUGUGGCCAGCAGCAGAGUCCACUUAAGUAUGGGGCUGGAGAAGCAUAUAGAUGAAGGGACCACAUAACUCUCUAUGGACGCGGCUCAGGACAAGAGGGUGACUACAGUGGUCUCUAGAUCUACUGACUUACUUCCCCUUAUGGGCUCAUGCCAGUCACUCUGACUCAUGGCCCCUUGGCCUCUGGAAACUCACAGCAACCCAGUUUUCUGCCUGGGCCACUUGGUUUGGGGUAUGGUCAUCAUACAUACUAAGAUUACCAAUCAUGUUGACACUUUCAAAGCUUCCUGGGGAAUGAAAAAGCAGUGGUCUUGUGACAACGUGGUCACCUCAGUGAAGGUUCCACAGUUGACCAGAGGGACAAGGGCUUCCUCAUUUCACGGGAUGAGGUCUUAUUGUCCUGUUAAGCCAGGAGACCCCAUACCUAAAAGAACGUUGUCUUGGUCAGCAUUCCUACAAGAACAGAGACCAUGCUCCAACAGGGUCAUUUGGUUAAGAAGGAAACCUUGGGACUUGCACGGGUGGAAAAGCCAUUAUCAUCACAGGUUCUUAAGAGGGAAAGAAGAGGGGGAAUUUCCUGGAACCAAAAGGGUAGGUGUAGGGAGAGGACCUCCUGAGAAGAGGCCACAUUUGAUAAAGGAAAGCUCCGGAAACCCAGAGAGAACCAAAUAUCCCAAUUUCACUCUCCGGGCCUUCUGCUGAUGCCUCCCAUAGGCUGGAAUCAACUGGAAGCUAGAGAGCAAGGGCGCUCAUUGACGCGGUCCAUGUAUAUCAGUUUCUCCGGAUGCAGAAUGGUGAGAUUGACCUCAAGGCUUAUGGACACUUAUUGGCAUGGCUGGUUAUGGCUGGCUGAGAAUAGCUAUGCAAAGAGUGAUGAUUUCAGCAGAUACCUGCCACUUGGUAUAUACCUCGUGCUUUGAAAGCUUUUUCAGGGACUUCCUCAUUUGAUCCUCACAGUAGGCCCAUGAGGUGAGUACUCCCCUGGCCCCAUUUACAGACUGGGAAACGAGAGAAUACAGAGAUACUAAAUGGUAAACAGAGGAGUGUGGACUUGUAAGCCCAGAAGGUGUGAUUACCUGACCAGUGCCUUCAUCUACGGGACCAUCCCAUCUUAUCCAAAAUGAAAAUUUAUGAGUUAGGUCGUAAAGCAUUGCUAGAUUGGAGGGAGUGACUGCAACAGAGACCACAAGACAAGGAUGAAAUAUUUCUGUAAGCUCUCUUUGACUUAACUGAGGUGGCAUAUACACACUCCAUGUAAGAGAUAUUAAAGUGUAAACCAAGAGAAAAGGGAGAGAGAAACGCAAAAGCAGAGGAGAAAGAGAGAGAGAGAGCACCAGCUGCAUACAGGAUACAGGCCAAGAGUCUAAUUAUAGCUGAUAAGGCCCCUUAUGAUCUGUAACGUGCCCCUACUCAUCUUUCCCCAUUCCCUGUGGGGCACUGUGUCCCAGCCAAACUAAACUUUAUUUAGUUCUUUAAACAGCCCUCAGGUCACUGCCCAUGUUGUCCCUUCGGCCUGAAACACUUUCCCUUGCUUUCUAUUCACCCAUCGUAAGCCCUACUUAAUCCAUCAGGCCUUAGUUUUGUCUCUUCUUAAAUUUUUCUUUCCUCUCUCCCUCCCUCUGUCCUCCCUCCAACACACAUUUUUUGGACACAGUACGUUCAGGCACAGUGGUGGGUGUUGCUGACAUUGGUCCAUAUUGGUCCCUCCCUUAUGGAGUUUCUAUGAGAAAACGUUCCCUUCAUGCCCAAGUCUGGGUUGAGGGGCUCUCCUGGGUGUUUUCUCAGCAACCUGAACUAAUCCUAUUAUAGCCUCUUUACUCUGCAUUCUAGCACCCUGGGUCUAUCUCCUUUCCCAGACCCUAGGCUCCAAGGUUGAGGGUAUUAGUUUCCUAUUGUUGCUGUAACAAAUUACUGCAAACUCAGUGGCUUAAAGCAACCCAAAUUAAUGAUCCUAAGGGUUCUAGAGUUGAAAGUCCAACACAGCCCUCACUAUAUUAAAAUCAAGUUUUGUGGAGCCUAUGUUCCUUCCCAGAAGCUCUGGAAAGAGCAGAAUAUGUUUUGUUUGUUUGUUUCUUUAUUUGCCUUUUCCAACUAGAGGCUGCCUGCAUUUCUUGGCUGAUGGCCCUUUCCUCCUUCUUUAAAGCCAUCAAUGGCUGGCGGAAUCUUUCCACAUUGUAUCACUCUGACAGUGACUCUUUUUCCUCCUCUUCUGUCUUUUAAGGACCUUUGUGAUUAUAUUGGAUACAUAUCCAGCCCACCUGGAUAGUCCAGGCUAAUAUUCCUGUCUUAACGUCAGCUGAUUAGCCGUCCUAAAUCCAUCUGCAACCUCAAUUUCCUUUGCCAAGUAAGAUAAGAUACUCACAGAUUCUAACUUAGGUCAUGGACAUCUUUGGGAAACCAUUAUUCCGCCAAGCAUACUAUAUAUCCCCAAAUGCUAGUCCAAGGGAAAAAAUAGAAUAUCUCAGUAUGCAAGUGGUUUCUAUGUGUAUGGAAUAUAUAGAUCUCUAUAUGUGUCUACGGCAUGUGUCUCUGUGACAGUCAUCUGUGUCCUGGAUGUUCACUUGGGUGGAUGUGUUUGUGUGUGGGUCAGGAAGCAUACAUUGCCUGACCUCGUUAGUUGUGGUCCUAUGUAUUUAUGUAUGUGUUGGAAGGUAGGAAUUAUAAUUCCCAAAGGGGGAAUUAUAAAGAUAAACCAGGCAAUGAGUAAUAUUUUCCUGACAAUUCAACUGUAAAAUAGUUUACCCUCCAUGUGGAUACUUUGCUUUCAAGACCUGGAUUUCUAUGCUCUCAAUUGACAUGUGCUGGUUACCACAUUCAUAGAAAGGGUGGCAUCCUGCUUGAGCCAGGAAGCCCUUCUAGAAGAUCCUAUAUUAGCCAUCAUACAGCUAAGAGGCACAUUCAGUGCUGCCAGCAGUUAACAGAUCAGUCAAAUUAUUAUUUCUCAUCUUUGCUGCAGAAGUAACAGUUUCUGAUAUAGAACCUUGUUUGAAUCUCCAGGCCAGCCUUUACUGUGAAUCCAGGCACAUCGGAGCCUGAGCCCUUAGGGAUCAUCUGGCCCCUACCCUUCACUUCGGAGAUGGGACAAGGCCAAUAAGUGGGCAGUUUGUGCAGGUGUAUCCAGCCAUCCUGAGACUGAAAGAGAAUGGCAACCUCUACAGUAGUUAACAUCUUUCUGAAGUGACUGUCAGCUCCUAGAGGGCAAAAACUCUGCUUUAAGUGCUCCUGGAUUAUUAGGCUUCCUUAGAUCUUUCUGCUCCCCAGGUCUUUAUGUUCUAAGAGAUAAAACCCAGAGAAGGUACUUGUAGACACAGCCUCUUUAUUCCUGAGAGAUGGUUAUACUCAGAACUUGUCAUAUUUCUCACAUAGGAAUCUGGGCUGGACAAUCCAGAAAUCUCAAAGGAUGGUUUUCUCCUUUUUCCCCUGAAGCAUAGAAUGAAACAAGACCCAAGCUGUAGAUUCCCUGCUUAGGGUUUCCAGGUCCUGUCCUGACCCCGCUCAGACUUCCCAAGCAAAUAUGCCUUCUUCAUGUGUUCAAUCAACAAUGUGUAGGUGUCCCAAGUUGAGUCCCUAUGGUAGAUGUCAGGUACAUUGCAGUGAACAAAACAGGUGUAG